CGGAUAGAGCCAGCGAAGUCGCUUGUAUUCAGCCAAAGACCCGGGGCUACCUGUCGUCGUGUUUCUAAUCGAGCACGGCGGCUUGUCUCUGCUCCGGGCCGAGGUGCAUUUGCAGGCGUUUGCGCCGAGACUUGCGAGGCAGCUUCUGGACCGGUGCUUAGAGGCCUCCCUCUGGGUUGAACCUGGGCGCCGUUACAGCUGUUUGCCCUGCUCGUACUGGUCCGGCCAACGAACCUGUGUGGUGUUGUUGUCAACUGGCCAAGGCAUCGCAUGCGAUGUCUAGUCUGGGGGCUACAGCAUGGCAUUGUGUUCCCGGACCGCCUCUCGGUGUAGAAGCUGGUCAUCUCUCCGACCCGUCUUGAAACACGGACCAAGGAGUUUAGCGUAUGCGCGAGUCAUUGGGUGCACAAACCCACAGGCGCAAUGAAAGUAAAGGCUCGGUCGCCGGGCUGACAUGCGAGUGCCGCGGCUUCGGCCCAGGCAUGCAGCAUGGUCCCGUUGCAGCCGCUUGCGGCGCAGCGGAGACAGAGCGUAUGCGCUGAG
RNAcentral lists this ribosomal RNA (543 nucleotides) under Mesocriconema sp. Vovlas-IPP. RNAcentral describes it as "eukaryotic LSU rRNA". It matches the Rfam family "Eukaryotic large subunit ribosomal RNA", at positions 420 to 813 of the family's 3401-position model. The record is from RNAcentral. Lineage: Eukaryota; Metazoa; Nematoda; Chromadorea; Rhabditida; Criconematidae.